RNAcentral lists this unclassified non-coding RNA (168 nucleotides) under uncultured fungus. RNAcentral describes it as "sequence contains ITS1, 5.8S rRNA gene". Lineage: Eukaryota; Fungi. The record is from RNAcentral.
CAAAUCAGUUGUUGGGUUGGGGGGAUAGGUGUGUGGGGGAUGGGUGUUGUGAGGUGGUCUGGCCUGUGGGCUGGCCGCAGCAUGCACCUUCCCUACUCCUGCCGCCCGCCUUGACAUUUGCGCUUGUUGUGUUUGACAGAGUAACAUGUGACAUUAUUAUUAAAAAGA